Molecule: ribosomal RNA, 693 nt
Filed under: uncultured bacterium
Lineage: Bacteria
Description: bacterial SSU rRNA
Rfam family: Bacterial small subunit ribosomal RNA
Source: RNAcentral
AACGCUAGCUACAGGCUUAACACAUGCAAGUCGAGGGGCAGCAUGAACUUAGCUUGCUAAGUUUGAUGGCGACCGGCGCACGGGUGAGUAACACGUAUCCAACCUGCCGAUGACUCGGGGAUAGCCUUUCGAAAGAAAGAUUAAUACCCGAUGGCAUAGUUCUUCCGCAUGGUGGAACUAUUAAAGAAUUUCGGUCAUCGAUGGGGAUGCGUUCCAUUAGGUUGUUGGCGGGGUAACGGCCCACCAAGCCUUCGAUGGAUAGGGGUUCUGAGAGGAAGGUCCCCCACAUUGGAACUGAGACACGGUCCAAACUCCUACGGGAGGCAGCAGUGAGGAAUAUUGGUCAAUGGACGAGAGUCUGAACCAGCCAAGUAGCGUGAAGGAUGACUGCCCUAUGGGUUGUAAACUUCUUUUAUACGGGAAUAAAGUGAGGCACGUGUGCCUUUUUGUAUGUACCGUAUGAAUAAGGAUCGGCUAACUCCGUGCCAGCAGCCGCGGUAAUACGGAGGAUCCGAGCGUUAUCCGGAUUUAUUGGGUUUAAAGGGAGCGUAGGCGGAUGCUUAAGUCAGUUGUGAAAGUUUGCGGCUCAACCGUAAAAUUGCAGUUGAUACUGGGUGUCUUGAGUACAGUAGAGGCAGGCGGAAUUCGUGGUGUAGCGGUGAAAUGCUUAGAUAUCACGAAGAACUCCGAUUG